GUGAUCGUUUGCCGCGGUCGAGCCAGAAGGCGUUUCGUUACGCCAUUGUUGUAUGGGACAGCGCUCGAGGCGCGCACCGGGCCUGGGGACGCUCCACGCCGUCUUACCGUUUUUCACCAACUCCAUUGCUGUGAUAUUAGAUUGUUUUAUAUCUCCUUACUGGAAACGAGGGAACGAAGACAGAACUACCAUGGAGGACGACCAGCAGUUCUGCCUCAGGUGGAACAACCACCAGAGCACGCUCGUACAAAAUUUCGACACACUCCUCGAAAGCGGGACGCUGGUUGACUGUACCCUGGCAGCGGAAGGUAGAUACCUUAAGGCCCACAAGGUAGUUCUAUCGGCGUGCAGUCCAUACUUUGAGGGCCUCCUCAGCGAACACUAUGACAAGCAUCCAAUCUUCAUACUUAAAGAUGUUACGUUUAAUGAACUUAAGGCAAUGAUGGAUUACAUGUAUAGGGGGGAAGUAAAUAUUGGUCAAGACCAAUUGACACCUCUUCUCAAAGCCGCUGAGUCUCUGCAAAUUAGGGGUCUUUCCGAUAAUAGAACGGGUGAAAGUAGGAAGGCAGACUCCAGGCCACAGAAAACCGUCUCACAACCGACAGCACCGUCGUUAGACAUUCCACACACGUCUUCCGGUCUGACGAUAGAAAAGAACAGAGUUCCUAGGCAGAGUAUGGCACAAGGUACCGUGGGGGAUUUACCGGAGGACACGGCCAGUCCGCAAGUUUCGAAAGGGAUCUCCUCGAGGGAAGGAUCUCAAAGUCCUAUACUAAGAAAAAGGAAGAGGCUUCGGAGAAGAAGCGCAGGCGAAGAUACAACAACAGAAAGCCAAGAUGCUUCGAAUUCGAGCGAUAUGCCCCAGCAAAUGGGUGGCCCGUCGCUUGGAAUCACGCCUGUAGCGGAGGAGAGAGUACACGCAGACCCAACUGACUCUCUCGGCAGGUCAGCUCUGAUGACACAGCUAACGAAGCCCGCCGACGAGAUGCUGCAGCUGCCACUUGAAAAACCCGAGCCAAGCGAUAAUCUCGUCGAGCCAAAGUCUGAAUACCUCGAGGAGACCGAGGAGGGCGUCGAAGAUUUGACGCUAGAUGAUGAUAUGAACGAUCUUAACGAGAUGGAGCAGGACAACAAUCGAGCUGGACCGUCCCACGACUCCUCCCAGCAUCCUGCAGGCCUUGGGGCGUGGCAUGUUACUGGUGACCGAAGUAACGCGGGAGGUGUCGUGGGGUCUGUUGGUGGAGCUCCAGGAUCCGCGGAUGAAGUGUUUCUCGCAGCCCAGGAGGCUGUUCAGGCCCAUCGCGACUCUCAAGUGUCGCACACGGGUUACAUGGCCGAGCACAAGCUGCGUAAUCGGAGAUACCCCUGCCCAAGGUGCGGCAGCACAUUCAGCCAAAAGAGCAACAUGUUGACGCAUUUUAGGCACGAGUGCGGGAAAGAGCCGCGGUUCCAGUGCCCCUAUUGCGGCAAGAAAGACCGGAAGUCGUCCAACACCUACAGGCAUAUCAGAAUGCACCACAAGGGCAACAGCAUCCAUGUGUAUCGAUUGUAUUGAUCCGCAAGCAGCAGUGAUGCUCGACGCUACGGUCGUCUCGCACGUCGGCAGCCCAACGGCAUUUCGUCGAGAAGCACGAGCAGCCAGCAAUCGUUCACUCGCUCGGGCCUGAUCUCACCUGCGCCUCGCGACCAUCACGUCGUCGGUCGUCCUGGGCGCCGUAGCUCGACGGACGAGCUGCGUUCGAUUUGCGGCGCAGGCAAGGAGGCGAAGAGGUGGCCCGUCGCAUCGUCGUGCUCUACGCUAGGAACCCGAGGGACGCGUAAAGAGUCCUGACCCGUCCUCGUCAUGCUCCACGAGCACGUGGAGGCUCCAACGGAUGGCUCCUGCAGCCUUACGACGCCGGCAUCUUGGACAUCCUGCAAGCGAGAUACAGCGGCAACGAGGUGAAGAACGAAAACGGGCCGUUCUGGCGGCAGUCCGGCAAGAUGGCGUACCACUGUCCCAGGUGCAACGCCGGCUACACCUACAAGA
This 2029-nucleotide unclassified non-coding RNA is filed under the name Harpegnathos saltator (Jerdon's jumping ant). RNAcentral's name for it is "longitudinals lacking protein, isoforms A/B/D/L, transcript variant X2". Lineage: Eukaryota; Metazoa; Arthropoda; Insecta; Hymenoptera; Formicidae. The record is from RNAcentral.